This 306-nucleotide unclassified non-coding RNA is filed under the name plant metagenome. Its description in RNAcentral is "partial contains 5.8S ribosomal RNA, internal transcribed spacer 2, and large subunit ribosomal RNA". The stretch from base 1 to 105 matches the Rfam family "5.8S ribosomal RNA", at positions 50 to 154 of the family's 154-position model. The record is from RNAcentral.
GAAAUGCGAUAAGUAAUGUGAAUUGCAGAAUUCAGUGAAUCAUCGAAUCUUUGAACGCACAUUGCGCCCGCUAGUAUUCUGGCGGGCAUGCCUGUCCGAGCGUCAUUUCAACCAUCAAGCCCCCGGGCUUGUGUUGGGGACCUGCGGCUGCCCGCAGGCCCUGAAAACCAGUGGCGGGCUCGCUGUCACACCGAGCGUAGUAGCAAUCACCUCGCUCAGGGCGUGCUGCGGGUUCCGGCCGUUAAACAGCCUUACAAAACCCAAGGUUGACCUCGGAUCAGGUAGGAAGACCCGCUGAACUUAAGA